GUUAUACGUAAAUCCUUAAUACAACAUGUUUACGUCGGAUGUUGAAAAGAGAAAUUCAGAUUUUUGCAGGUGUUACCUAACAUUUUCUAGUGGCAGCUGAGAGAUGUUUCUGGGGACCCCGGCAAUCGGUUUGCCGCUGUCUAUAAUACUGGAGAAUUCCUACACUGACGUAUUUGGCUCGCUGAUGUCCGUUUGUUACACGCUCCCUGGAAGAACUUCCCGACCAGCGAUUAUAUUCAUUUCUUUGGCCCAUGGUUUCUCCUUUUGAGCACGAGUGUUGCUCAUCCGUCCAAACCCGGAUGCCGAACGAGACAUCGUGUUUGGAGAGAUUAACAACGCUCGUCGCUACAUAACUUCUACCGAAACAGUCCUGAAGAACGCAAUACGAUAUCCGGCGCCACAAGCUGCACGGCAGAGUCUGUAUACAGAAAAAUUCAUGCUGAAUGUACGCACACUGCGUGGAGACAGUUGCAGACAUGUGCGAUGGGCCGGGAUAAGACAGCAGUCGGGCCUGCCAGACUGCCACUUGUUGCAUCCUGUCCUCAUCAUUGCUAAAAUCCGAGUCCGCACAUGAUCGACGAAAUGCCCACUGGAGGAACAUCCUUAAGAUUACGGUCAACGGGAUUACUUCUUCUCCUUGGCAUUGUUUACUUGUAACGCAGAGAGAUCAAAAGGAGAAGCUGAAGUUUCGAUCCGAAGUUUCCGGAAUAAUGGGCUAAUAUUACGUCCGGCCGCACUUUGGCUUUUCUUCUACGGUCUUCGCUGUCGUCCCCGGCUAAUUCCUGCACGUUGAUUCCUACGUGGUUUUCCAACUUGUUGUAACUCCUGCUGCCUCCCAAAGGUACAGUUGGAACUUGGGGCACAUCUUUUGUGGAAUGGAUACUUCAGCGUCCGGUGUGACAGCCGUUGCUGGGGCUCUAGCGGUGGCGUUGUGGCGCUAAACAAUAAGAUGGUCAACGUUACGGAAAUCAUAAUCGUAUUUUGCAAGACUAAUUAGUGCGUGGAUAAUUAGGGAACGUUACGAUUCUGAUCCCUUAACGUUCCCGGAUUACCCACGUACACAUCUGGAAAAACAAAUCUGAUCUUUCGCCCCUUUUAGUGGUAAGGAAAAUGAUAAAAAGGAUUACGAUAGCAGUACAUAAUGUACGUUUUUUACGAGUACUGCCAUUUAAGUGUUAAUGUUAAGUACUCUCACAAACGAAAAAAAGGGAUAGUCUCUAUAUUUACAAUUGUAUAUUUUAUGUCUCUAUAUAUACUUGUGCAUGUUGCCUCAGCGGCCGCAUAAUCGGCCACACGAACGAGCCUGUUUACUCUGCAUUAUUGUAUAUACGAAUUCACUACGGAUUGCGGUAUUAUCUUGUUUGCAUCCGCACCGAUCGUCAAUCGCGAGGAUGCCACCCUUUCAGCUGAGCACCAGCAUUUUCGAAUCCGAUUUCCGCGCGCUUUUCGACAAAGACUUGAAGCAGAUGCUGGGACAGCUGCUGCAAAAGAAUCCCAACGCAAGCGAGUUGUCAGGCGCGAUUUUCCCAAGAUACGUUUACAGUUGACUCAUAGUUUGACAUUUUGCAGCCCCGCUCAGUAUGCUUUACCGAUCAGUUCCUGACGUGUGGCGGCACCACGGAGGCCUGCGCGUUCGGCAACUUGGCGUCCAUCGGGAACAUUGUUGGAAAGGACAAUGAGGCUCACGUAGAAACUAUACCCGAAUUUCUAAAAAGAUAUUGUAUCAACAUUUUUCUUUCUGUGCGUUUCGGAUUAACCUGACUGCUCUUGCAGGUUCCCGCCGUUCCUCAGCGAUUAUCCAGCGAACGACGGGGGUUCUCUCGGCUUGACGCUUGACAGCGUUAGUAGAAGAUUGCAGGCAGCACCGGCUGCCUAAUGGUCAUGCUUUCUUUCCGGUUUAUAAAUGUUGUGCGAACCGCUGUCACUGCAGUUUUUGAAGAUUUUAGUCUUCAAACUCGGUACGGGAAAUUCAGUAAUACUAACGAAAUCUUUAUAUACUGUAGGUACCAUUAAGUCGGUACAAGCAAACGCAGCGUAGUCAUCAUUAUCGUUUAUAUUUAUACUCAUACGUACUGUAUCUGCGUCUGCAUGAACACGGACAAUCAUUUUAGCCGGAACACUCACUCACCUGGUGUUUGUUUAAAGACUGUAAGAAGAGACAACCACAGACAUUCGUCUCCAAAAGCAUUCCUGCUCUGGCAAAUGGCUACAAAGCACAAACUGCUGCGAAAAUAAUCUGCUUUCAGGAAACGAGCGACUACGAGAUCCAUCAUGCCGAUUACGAAGUUUUGCCCGGCAGUGGAAGCGGAAGUCAACUAGACGCACGCAAAGCAGCCACCGGCCGGCAUUUUCGUGAAGAGUGUGGCUACAAGCCUACAAUCAUUCGCAUCUGAAAAUUAUCGUUUGCCUUUCGACGAGGUUUAGAAGGAAUCAGGAACCCGAAGCCGCUGUCGCCACGCAAAAACUUGCUGUCUAGGGUGUGAUCUUUGCUUAGGUAUGUACCUGCAAGUACAAGGAACAUGUUGACAACGAGUAGCUGAUAGUUUAAUUAUGCCUCUAGAUUAUAUUAAGGCACUGUAAGGAUAGAAGCGGCUCACGCACAGCGACAAAAGUCUUUCAAGGAUUUCCAGCACUUUGCGCCGUGGUGCAGUGGCACUACCUACGCGCAUCUUACGACGUAGCCAUCUAUUUCUUUAUAUCCUGAUCAGUAACCAAUCAUUUAUCUAAAUUUCGUGCAGCUAUUGUAUAGGGACUCUGUAAUGUAUCAGUUGUUCUCCGCUCCUGCCUUUUUGUCAUUCUGCGCUUUUUCAAGGUAAACUAUCCCAUAACAGUUUAUCUACUGUUUUUAGAUUACCAA
This is a long non-coding RNA of Paramacrobiotus metropolitanus, 2857 nucleotides long. RefSeq lists it as uncharacterized. The record is from RefSeq and is a predicted model, not a curated record. Lineage: Eukaryota; Metazoa; Tardigrada; Eutardigrada; Parachela; Macrobiotidae. The transcript is spliced from 4 exons.